AUAAAAAGAACAAAAAUAUUUACAAUUUAUUUCUAGGGCAGAGUCCUCACUCCAGAUUCCUGCAUUCAUACUAAUGGCAUUUGGACCUGCACACAGAAGGGGAUUCAACUCCAGAACAGUAUAUUGGAGUCAGAGGGAACAAGGUACAAUAGAAUGAGUGUACUAUCUCUACAUCAGAAGACCUUCUGACUGCGCCCUGGAGUUUCCCCUACCACAUCUGUAACUUUCAUCACUGCUCAAACAAUAAAAAAUGUCAAUCACUUUGAAUCCUGCCUAAGGUAUUUUCUUCUCCUCCC
Molecule: long non-coding RNA, 296 nt
Filed under: Rattus norvegicus (Norway rat)
Lineage: Eukaryota; Metazoa; Chordata; Mammalia; Rodentia; Muridae
Description: long non-coding RNA NONRATT033412
Source: RNAcentral